This 1498-nucleotide long non-coding RNA is filed under the name Homo sapiens (human). RNAcentral's name for it is "HSALNT0394153". The record is from RNAcentral. Lineage: Eukaryota; Metazoa; Chordata; Mammalia; Primates; Hominidae.
AGUUCCCUGGCACCGGUCAUCUGUCUGCUCAGUGAGUGGGAGGGCUGGUACCUUCUCUUGUUUCUGAGACCCAGGUAGCAAAGGAGUUUGAGUUUGCAGUUGGAAUCAAAGGCUCUCCAACAAGGAAACAACUAAGUGUGUUCCUGCAAGACCUCUCUUUCCCUAGGGGAAAACAGAGACAUCUCAUCACAGAUAGCUCUAGGUUUGCCUUGGCCAUGAUGUCCAAGUGGUCUGCUUGGUUCCAUGCCUGCGUCUGAGCUGGCUCUGUGGGAGGUGCCAAGCUGCCUUCGACACUGUGCAUGGCACUUUAAAGCUCUCAAUAAAUAUUUUUCAAGUGAAGUCAAUGAAGCAAGAAAGAAUCUCAACUAGUUUUGAGUUUUGGUUGAAGAGAAGGCUCACAGAGGCUCAGGGAAGCCCUCAGGUUUCAUGGGGACAGCCUGAAGAAUGACCUUCAUAUAAUGGCCACACAGCCACUUGGGCCACCGGAGCUCACCGUGAGACACACUCACCAUCUCGUCUUCAUGUCUGGUGCUCCCUUUAGUUUUCUGGCAAGAAGCUAGGGAGAAGGUGACUUGAGCUCCUCGUGUGUUUUGAUCACUCAACAAAGAAGACAAAAGGGCGUUUCAUAACCUGACAGUGGGAGAGCACAUUAAAAAGGUAAGGUUUCUUUGGUUUUCUUCUAAUUUCAGGUGUUCUCUUGUUCUUGAUAAUCCAGAAACCUUAAACAUAUUUAUUACACACCAACAGGAAGAGCUGGAAUUUGAUUUGGGUUAACCAGGUUUUAAAAAAUACAGAAUCUCUUUAUAGCCAUCUUUAAAGAGAUACAUAGGAUUCACCCCUUGAUACAGUGGUUCUCAAACUCUGGCCCGCAUCACAAUUUGGGGAGUUUGUUAAAACAGGUUCCAGGCCCCACCCUUAGAGAUUGUGAUUUAGAGGGUCUGAGAUGAAGCCUGUUUGGGUAUUUAAAGCUCCCCAGGUGAUUCUGAUGCCUACCAAAGCUUGGGAACCCUAAAUUAUUGUAGAUGUUCUAUGAGCUAUGCCAUAAGGAAAAGCAGAAUAGAGAGGUUCUGUCAGAAGCUCUAAGAGUAAGCAUCCAGUUUUUUGAUUGGAGGGAGUAGACUAUGGAAGAUUUAAAACCAGGCUGGAGGCCACAUGCCUUAAGGGCUGGCUCCCAUCACCCCCACCCCCAAGCUUACGAUAGAGUGACUCCCAGUGGAACUGUACUCUGGGGUUAGCACUGUAGAUGUUUAGGGGAAAAGGCAGAAAAAUCAGCUUGACUAAAUAGUAAUUUUAAAAAAUCCCUUAGACCCUAAUGCUCUGGAGUAGAACAAAUGCUUUAAAUGGCAAGAUGAAGGCAGAAAGGCCACCAUAGUCCUGAGCAUCUAGGAGACUCUGACACCCGUGGACAGUUGACCAGGAGGCCAUUGCGUAUCUUGCAGAGCCAGGGCGAAUGUGAGAAGCCAGUGUCUCUUACCUCCAGGGCACUGAGGUCAGACCA